RNAcentral lists this non-coding RNA (82 nucleotides) under marine eukaryotic metagenome. RNAcentral describes it as "sRNA-Xcc1". It matches the Rfam family "sRNA-Xcc1". The record is from RNAcentral.
UCGGGAGGGCGACGAAUACAAUACCCGCAAGGGGAAUAAGUCCGCGGUCUGUUACAGCCGUUUCGAACCUCCUGACACCCUA